Molecule: long non-coding RNA, 753 nt
Filed under: Homo sapiens (human)
Lineage: Eukaryota; Metazoa; Chordata; Mammalia; Primates; Hominidae
Description: HSALNT0273351
Source: RNAcentral
GGUAAUUUAUAAACAAGAGGUUUAAUUGACUCACAGUUCCACAUGGCUGGGGAGGCCUCAGGAAACUUACAUUCACGGCAGAAGGUGAAGGGGAAGCAAGGCGUGUCUUACAUAGUGGAAGGAGAGACAGAGAUAGAAUGCAGGGGAAACUGCCACUUUUAAAUCAUCAGAUCUCGUGAGGCCUCCCUCACUUUCAGGAGAACAGCUUUGGGGAAACCACUCCCAUGAUCCAGUCACCUCCCACCAGGUCCCUCCCUCAACACGUGGGGAUUAAAAUUCGAGAUGAGAUUUGGGUGGGGACACAGAGCUGAACCAUAUCAACAUUCAAGCUCUUUGACCCUGUAGUAAUUCCAAUACAAGAAGCCUAGCCCAAGGACACAAUUUCAUAAAGUUUAUCCACAAAAGAUGUUUGUUGUACUCAUUGUUUAAAAUAGGGGAAAACAGGAGACAGCCCAAGUGGCUAGUGUCUGGGAGCCAUCAUGUUUUUGCCUCAACAAUUGCAACACUUCAGUCUUUUUGGGGUAGUAGUGAGGAAGCCACUUCUGCCACUCUGUCUUCCCUAUAUUCUUUUUUAUUUUUUGAGAUGGAGUUUCACUCUUGUUGCCCAGGCUGGAGUGCAAUGGAGCAAUCUCGGCUCACUGCAACCUCCACCUCCCGGGUUCAAGCGAUUGUCCUGCCUCAGCCUCCUGAGUAGCUGGGAUUAUAGGCGCCCACCUCCACGCCCGGCUAAUUUUGUGUUUUUAGUAGAGACAG